Molecule: long non-coding RNA, 1151 nt
Filed under: Orbicella faveolata
Lineage: Eukaryota; Metazoa; Cnidaria; Anthozoa; Scleractinia; Merulinidae
Description: uncharacterized LOC110048196, transcript variant X3
Source: RNAcentral
UUUGGCGUUUUUCUGUUUUCAUGUGCUCUUCUGUGGCUUGUUCUUACAUUAUCAUAAGUAACAUUUAUUUCUUCAAACUGAAAAGCAACUUGUAGAAGUAAAUGCAAGUGGAAGAAAGAGUUUUACAGGGUGAAUUUGAGCUCUCUGCGAUUCACUUGGGCUUCAAUACCAAAGUCAUCACUAUAUGGUUACAUGUGGCUCCCUGAGCAGGCAAGGUUUACCAAAUCCUACCCUGUGAUUGGCUACCCCAGCAGCAUGAUACACAUCAAGAAGAAAGGAGCCUAGAGUUUCAAGACAGGACAAUAUGAUAUCAACAUGGAAACUGAUUGUUGGGUUUAGUAUACAAAAUAGGGAAGCAACAAUGAAAGUACAGUAUGUGCUGAGACUCAAGAGGACAAAGAAUCAAUUGGGACAUUGGAUCCCUUGAAAAGCUGCAUCUCAAGUGUACACGCAGUGACAUUAAUAUGGAGAAAGAAGCAAAGGAAAGCAACGAACUUCUUUUAGAUUUUACAAGACAAAGUUGAUCUCGAUUGAGUUUCUUGCGAAAGAUUGUUAGGACGGAGCUCGUAUUAGUGAUUUCACAACACAAAAUUUUCAAAUUGUCUAUUAUCUGCCAAAUUGCCUCGUACGUUGUUAGUUUUCGAGUAAGUUGUAAACUAUAUUUCAAGUUUGUGGCUUGAAAUUAGGGUAGAAUGUUAGUAUUACCUGGGCUUGUUUUUGCAACCCGAUUUUCAGUCUGGAAGUCCUUGUAUUAAACUCGUUGAAAUAGCUAAGAGUCUAGUAGUCUAGUUCACAAAUUUAGCGACAUCUUUCCAGUUUUCGAGAACGCAUUAAAGUGAUAAAAAGGUUUCGCUUUUAAGAGGGCCAAGAAAAAAAUCGAAAAGUGGAAAAAUUGUACUUAGAAAAAAAAGUCUGCAAUUUUAAAUGGUGUCUGGUUUUGAGUCGAACAUAUACAGAGUCUUGGUGGAGAAAAUCUAGCGCUGCGUAGGAUUUUUCCCAUCAAACGUCACAGUAUAUGCUUGAUUUCUGGCUAGACUCUGUUUAAAGGCGCAGAAUUUUUUUCUUUUUGGCAACCCUACAUAGUCAAAAACUAGUAAAAGAGAGCCUACAUUUUGACUAGUUUCCAGGCCCUUUUAAAACCGCAUUUUUUU